Notechis scutatus (mainland tiger snake) is the source of this 412-nucleotide non-coding RNA. The record is from RefSeq and is a predicted model, not a curated record. Lineage: Eukaryota; Metazoa; Chordata; Lepidosauria; Squamata; Elapidae.
CCCCAGUUUUUCCUCCUUCCAACCUACUCUCUUCCUCCUCCUCCCUCCCCUCCAGAUCACCGUUCUGUCUGCAAUGACUGAGGAAGCUGCUGUCGCCAUCAAAGCCAUGGCUAAAUAAAGGAACCACAGGCAACAGCCGCAGCCGCAACAAAUUGUAAUGAACCAGAGAGGAAUCGCAACCCACAAAAAGACUGUCAGAUUGGGCUCCAAACCACUCAAAAUCUUGGUUUUUUUUUCUUUUUUCUUUGUCGUCUUCUCUUUCUUCUUCUUCUCUUUGCCUUCCUUUGAAACGAAACAAACAACUCCCCCUUCCCUCCCCCCCUUUGAAUCCUCUCGGUUCCUCCCUUUUGAAUUAAAACAAAACAAAACCAAGCUUUUUAUUUUGUGGUCUUUAAAAAAAAAAGGAAAAAAG